RNAcentral lists this long non-coding RNA (7582 nucleotides) under Lynx pardinus (Iberian lynx). Lineage: Eukaryota; Metazoa; Chordata; Mammalia; Carnivora; Felidae. The record is from RNAcentral.
GGAAUUUUGGAGCGAGCCCGAAAGAAGGCGCUUGCACGACGAGACCCCAGCCAAAACCCUGGGCACCGAGUCUACGAUGAGCUUCCCGGGUAGACAGCGCCUCCACGGGUGUAGCCAAAAUGCGUUGCCGGAGGAAUUAUGCACGUCGUGAGUGACUCCCCAGGGCGAGGGCUCUUGGAAGCUGGCGUUUGGAUUUCUCCGGACUUCCCCGUGUGCCUUUUCCCUCUGACGAUUUUACUCUCUGUCCUUCCGCUGUCAGUCGCGACCACGAGUGUGGCGGGGACCUGAGGGUCCUCCUGAUGAACCAACCAGCUGGAGAGAGAGGGAGACACAGAAUCCGAAGCGGGCUCCAGGCUCUGAGCUGGAACACGCGGGGCUUGAACUCAUGAACCACGAGAUCAUGACCUGAGCUGAAGUCGGACGCUUAGCGGACUUUAUCCCAGAUUCUGGAACCAAGGCAGGGAACGGGGAGGGGCUUGUCAAGGUCCCCUGGCCGCUUCAUGACAAAGGCCGGGCUGGAACUCAGGGCUCUGAGCCUGGUUAGGCACCCUCCCUUCUACCCUCUGCUCCGGCCAGGGGUGGGUGGGGGCUGAUUGCACCUGACCCCCACACUUCCCAGAAAAGUUCCGGGCUUCGCAGCCCCUACCUCCAAGCCCCUGCCAAGGAGGGAGUUUAGAGAGGAUAAGGACCCCUGGUCUUUGCCUUACCAGCUCCAUCUGAGACCGUGGCAAGUUUCACAGAUGGGGAAACUGCUGCAAGAAAGACAUGAAGUCAUGGAGAAAGCAACAGACUGGGAUGUGCUCUAUAAUUACAGUAUUUUUUUUUUAAGGACAAUAAUGAUGCCUCAACAGAUCUAGACCUCAUGAGGGCCACCCAGACCUUUUCAAACUCCAUAACUACCGCGAGCAACUGACCGGUCCAGCCAGGUGCGCAUCCUUCGGGUAGGGACGAGCACGGUUCCCCCAGCCCCGCCCCCAAGCACCGGUAGAGAAGACGCUUGUGGGGCACAUUCAGAGAGCAAGUCCAUGCCGAGCUGGGGGACGAUGACAAGGAGUCAUGAGAGAGGUCAGAGGAAGGGGACAGGAUGUACCUGCAGGGCCGACAUGGGGAGAGCAGGAAGGCUUUUCAACUGGAAGGAGCACCUGGGGAACCCACCAGAACUCCGGGUUCCGGGUCUCCGCCCCGACUGGUGAGUAUAAAACGGUCUCCUGGAAUUAUUCUGAAGAUUACAGGAAGUAAUGGAUACAAAGCGCCCCGUGUAGGAAAUGUUCAGCAAAUGGUAGCUAAUAUAUUAAGAGCAUUAACAAUCGGGGUCGUGACCAUGACAUCUGCUGGCGUGUGUCUCCCCCUCCAGACUGGAGAUCCUCAGGGCACUGUCUCAUAUCUUCUCACUACUCCCAGCUUCCAGCAUUGGGCUUGACAGAGGGCGGGCGUUUAGUGAGGGAACGAACGAAUGCAUUAAUGAACGUAAGCGGUUGGGGAGGUCAGGGAAGGCUUCCCAGAGGAGGUAAAUGCUGACCCAGGCUGGGGAGGACUUGGAGAAUGUGGGCGGUGUGUCGGUGAACUCCGGCCUCGCUUACGCUGUGUAACAAAGAAGCACCCGGUCUCGGUGAUAUACACCAAAAAGCACCCAUCAAGCCCCCUCGUCUGCAGGCCGGCUGGGAGCUGUGCAACGGGCUGGGUUCCAGGGCGUGGUGGUGGCCAGAGCAGAGCAGCUCUGCCCCCACGUGUCUGUCAUCCUCCUUCUGGGGUCGGCGGGCUCGCUCAGCCAUGUGUUUCUUGAGACUUUGGUAGAGGACCAAGGGUGAUCAGAACCCGAGGCCUAGACUCAGAGUAAGGCUCCCUGUCCAUUCUGCCUCGUUUUAGCCACCAAAGCAAGUCGUAUCGCCCCAUUCAAGGCCAGAGGGGAGGCGGUAUCCCCUGCCUCUUAACGGGACAAGCUGCAAGGUCCCACGGCGAAGGGCACAGAUGCGGGGAGGGCCGAAGAAGCGGGAUUAAAUCCCAGUCUUCCACGGAUGGGCCCUGGGAAGGGGGCAGGGGCUGCUCCUUGGGGCGGGAGGCCAGAGGAAGCAGGAGACAAUGAAGUCCAGUCCAGGAUGCUCACUGUGGCACUGGAGGGUCCUGGAGGGAUGGGUCACAGUGAUCCCUCGUGCUCUUGGGACUGUUAGAGCACCAUUCAUGCACUCGUCCGUUCGUUGGUCAAUGAAUGAACAAGCUUCACGGGUGGGGGCACUAGGAACUCAAUGUGAGUAAAACGACGCAGGGUUCGGAAUUUCAGGAUGGAGAGGAGGCUCCCCUGCCGUCUCUGGCUCUUCCGCCCCCUUGCUCCGUGACCUUGGGAAAAUCACCUCCCUUCUCGGGGCAUGCCAGCCACGGCUAAUAAUACCUUAACCUUUGUAGAACACUUUAAACUUUAUCCAAUCGUCCUCACCCAACACUCUCCGCGAAGCAUCGGAGACCGCUUUUAUUACAUCCGUGAUCUGACAAGUGAAACUCUAAUGGACAUGAAAUGCACAGCUCCUUGGAAGUGCUCUCCAGAGAGGACUCGGGGGGCAAACCCCUUAUAACAAACCCUAGGAUUCUCUCUACAACAAAGAGGGUCCCUGGAUGGCGGCAACGGUUGUCGUUUCAAACAAUGUUUGUGUGGCCAUGCAAUUCCUGUGUGAGCCAGGGACUGGGACGGCGUCCUUUAUCUUCCCUUUUAUUUUAAAAAGCCACCGAUCUGAACAUUUCAAAGAUUCCCGUAGAACUUUCUCAAUUUAAUUUAAAAAAAAAAAAAGCAAAACAAAGGACUGUCUUCUCCUCACUGGCUUCACAAACGAAAGAGGGAAAGUGGGACACAAGCCAGGACAGGAGGACAGCCGGUUCAGCCCAGCUCCUCAUUUGAGAAGGGGCACCUCCAUCACCCCGGGACACCAGGCUGCGUGAGUUCCAAGAGGAAAGAGGCGAAAGGCUGCUUCCUCCCCAUCCUCUCGCUAGGACUAAAGCAGGCUUAUCCUGCCGGACAUCUACCGGGUGCUACAUACGCUGUGCCCUCUCCUUAUGCUGGUCCUGUAAGGUGCACAUACCGUCCUACAGGGGGGAAACUGAGGCUCAGGCUGACAGGAAGUCACAGCUGGUAAAGCAGCUGAGCUGGGUCCAAACUCAUAAUCCUCUGGCCCCAAAUACUGUUUUCUCUCCCUUUUCCCAUGCCACCUCUUUGCUGGGGGUGGGAGGGUGAUAUUGAUGGGGAGCUGGGUGCCAGGUUCAGUGAAUGCAGAGGAAAGAAGGAAAGGAGAGAAGGAGGGAGGAAGGGAAGGAAGGGAGGGAGGGAGGGGGGAAGGAAAGAAGGAAGGGAGGGAAAGAGGAAGGAAGGGAGGGAGGAAGGGGGUGGGAAGGAGGGAGGAAGGAAAGGGGGAAGGAAGGAAGGAAAGAAGGAAGGAAAGGGAGGGAAGGAAGGAAGGAAGGAAAGGGAGGGAAGGAAGGAAAGAAGGAAGGAAGGAAAGGGAGGGAAGGAAGGAAAGAAGGGGGCAGGAAGGAAGGGGGGAAGGAGGGCAGGAAAGGAGAGGAACAGAGCGAACAAAGGAAGGAAACACCAGCUGUGUAGCUGACGUGAGCCCAGCACUAUCACAAGCGGACCAUAUUGUGUGAUGCGUCAUAGUUGAAGUUGGAAUAACGUCCCAGGGGACCCAGAGUGGCCGGCGCCUGGGGUGGGCGUUGGUAAAGGCUUCCCGGCGAGAAGCUAUUGAAGUCGAAUCAGGACGAAGGGCAGGCAGGGACAAGGAGGGGCGGCAGCUCCCGAGCAAACCUUCGUCAAGCUCCUCCUGCUUUGAUCAAGGCCCGAAAAAUAGCGAAUGUGAUAAAGCCCCCCUCCAGGGAGCCACCUGGGGUCUCCGAGGUCCCGCCUGGUCUCCACUGUCUCACCUCCUACCCCGCUCUCCAUGGCGACUCCGGCCGCACUGGCCCCGGCAGGUGUCCUUCUUCCUGCCUGGAGAUCUCCCCCUCUUCACCUGGCUGAUCUCUACUCGAUUUCCACUCCGCCGACCCUUCCUUCCUUCCUUCCUCCAGCAGGUGUUUAUGGGACUCCUUGGAGCUGUUCGAGGUGACGGGAACACGGUGCCCUUGCCGGAUGGGAACCGGCCGAAGCGUGGGCGUGGAUGAGGCCUCUGCCAGGGUGAACACAGGCAGGCAAGAGUCGGGCGGGGUGGCAUCGAUGAGCUGCCUACCCCAGCGGACAAGCAGGCCAGCUUCCUCAACCUGGAGUGGGACAAUUCUAAGGCACGUUCUGUGCGGCUCUCAGGGGGUCUCCAGAGAGUUUGAGCCCAGCUGCCCUCAGCUAUGACCCACCACUUGACGCGUCUUUGGUAGACUUUUCUCUCUUCCCGGGCUCCCCUCCGCACUGCCUCGCUGAGCCUCCUGCAACCCCCUCCCAGACAAACUACCCGCACCCAAGUCCCUGUCUCCUGGUCAGCUUUGGGGAAACGUAAAGGGGACCGUGGUGCACCCAGGAGUUGGGAUCCCAAGCGUGCGUUCCAUUCUGCUGUGCUGGCCUCUUGGAAGGACUCGGGGGGGGGGAGGGGGGAGAGGACAGGAUGAGGUGAGAACAUGGUACCGCGGUACUGGGGAGCCACUGAAAGCCGUAUGCAGAGAGGGGGGUGAUCGGCAGACAGCUGCAGCCCCUCUGAGCCUUGGCCUGGCCCUUGGGGACGGACCUAGCCGGGUCAGAGAUGCAGGAGACCCGUCCUGCCCAGUAGGGACAAGAAGACAAGACCCUGCAAAGGGAUCUCCCGCCCACCCAGCGACCCUCCCAGGUCCAUCGGGGGCCCCCCCAGGGCUGUGCUCCCCAUUUGCCGGCCUGACACCCACACCCCCUCCCCCCCUUUUCCCAGAUGCAUUUCUACUGAUUAUGCAAAUCGCCGGGCCCAGCCUAAGCAAAGCAGGGCAGCUCCACAGGGUAAGAUGGGCAAACAACAGAUUACGGCCGCCUUCUCUGGGAAACACAAGUUUAACUGCUUUUUCAGAGGGGCGAGGGGGAGGGGCAGGCACAGAAAUAACCCAGCCCCAGCCAGCUGUCAGGGCCGCCACGCAGAGCACAACCCAAGGCUGGGAGCACGGAGCCGGGGGGGGGGGGGGGGGGGGGGGGGGGGGGGGGGGGGCAGUGGGCUCUGACCCGGGGAGAGGGAGGAGGCAGGUGGCGGAGGGGAGCCACGGGGCGCCCCCCUCCGCAGGGGAAGGCAGAGGCAAGGGCAGAGCCUCUUGGAGGGCAGAGUCCUAGCGGAGGCUUGCUGUGGGCCGGGCAGCGGCGCGAGCGCUCUGCGUGAAUUCACUAUCUAAUCGGCCCAAGGACCCCACAGUAAUGCCACCAUCAUCGUGUUUCAGAUGAGAAAAUGGAAGGUUUAUUAAAUUCACUGAAGACAUGGGGGGGGGGAGUGUUCGCCCUUCCACUCCGAGACCAAGGGCCUGUUGAUUCAACGAACCCCCAUUUUUACUGAGCUCUUGCCCUGUCACCUGUUUCAAGCACGAUGGGUCAUGGCAACCCUAUGUAGCGGGCAGAGUCCUGCCCCUUACCUCCCGGAUGAGGGAACCGGGCGGAGAGUUAAAGGACUAAUGAUGCUCGUAUAAGUAAUAAGGGGUAAGACUGGGAUUCAAACCCAGGUCUGACGACUGUGCCUUUAACCGCUAAGCUAGACAACGUCCCUGAAUACUGCUGCACACGGCCAAGCAACGACUCAAGUUUGUUGGGUGCUUAGUCUGUGCCAGGCCCCCAGGCCUCCAUGCCAGGCUAGGAAUGAGAGAGGGUCCCUGCCCUUGAGGAGCCCGUGACCUGUACGUAAGACACUGUGGCGAUAAGGGCUAGAAAAGGUGAACAGAGAAGAGCGGGAACGCAGGCGGCACCUAAUUCUGCCUGCGGAGGUUAAGGCAGGCCAAACAGAAGGGGCCACAUUCGAGUUGAGGCGUCCCUCUCUCUCUGCCCCUCCCCCAUUCACGCUCUGUCUCUCUCUGUCUCUCUCUCAAAAAAUAAACAUUAAAAAAUUUUUUUUGGGGGGGGGGCGCCUGGGUGGCUCAGUCAGUUGAGCGUCCAACUUCGGCUCAGGUCAUGAUCUCACGGUUUGUGGGUUCGAGCCCCGCGUCGGGCUCUGUGUGGACGGCUCGGAGCCUGGAGCCUGCUUUGGAUUCUGUGUCUCCCUCUCUCUCUCUGCCCUCCCCCACUUGUGCUCUGUCUCUCUCUCUCAAAAACAAACAUUAAGAAAAUUGUUUUAAAUCGUACUGCUGACAGCCGCCACUGAGUGCUUGGGGGGACAAGGGCUGGCUGGUUUCUGUGCUAAGUGCCCUGCGGGUGGCAUCUCGCCGAAUCUUCAUACUAUCAUUCUUCCCAUUUUGCAGAUGCGGAAACCAAGGCGUGGAGAAGCGGAAACUUGCCGGUGAUCUCUCACUUGGGGGCGGGGGAGGAGCCAGGAUUCCAACCUCAGUGGGCAGGACCCCGGGAUCCUGCCGCCCCUUAGCUCUGGUCUAUGGUGAGGGCGCGGCCUUACUUGGGGAAGAGGGGACACAGGGGUAUUUCCUUCUUAUUCAGGAAAAGUUCUCCAGGCGCCAGCUCCUCUGAGUGGGUUCCGCCCUUCCCAGGGGGCUGUGUCGUUUCUGAAAUAGUGGAACCAAGUCGAUCUAGCUCGGCAAACACUUCCAAUCAGUGGCCGAGCACAGGGGGCUGCCGAGGGUGGGAGAGAGGGGAGUCAGGCCCCCGCUGCCGGGAACCCACCCCACCUGGAGGUCCUGACCACACAAUUCCUGCGCAGAGGGGACAUGGGGAACCACACAGUCCCCCAAACUGGGAUUUAGAGAAAAGCCAAAUAAGGGGCCCUUGGGUAGUUCAAUCGGUGGGCAUCCAAAUCUUAGUUUUGGCUCAGGUCAUGAUCCCAGGGUCGUGGGAUCGAGCCCCACGUCGGGCUCCACUCUGAGCAUGGAACCUGCUUGAGAUUCUCUCUCUCUCUCUCUCUCUCUCUCUCUCUCUCUCUCUCUCUGUCUCUCUUUCUCUCUCUCUCCCACACAGAUCCACACACACAUCUACCCAUGGAUGUUUAUGGCAGCUCUACUCGUAAUUGCCAAAAUCUGAAGCAGCCAAGAAGCCUGUCAGUGGAUAAAUGGAUAAACAAACUGUGGUUCAUCCAGACCCCAGAAUAUUAUUCAGCGCAAAAGAAAAAUGAGCUCUCAAGCCCCGAAGGGUCAGGAAGGAAACUUAAAUGCAUAUUACUGGGUGGAAGAAGCCAGUCGGAGAAGUUGUACGAUUCUAACCGUAUGACUUUCCAGAGAAGGCAAACUAUGGAGACAGUAAAGAGAUCAGUGGUUGGCAGGGGUUGGGGGGUUAAGGAUGAAGAGGCAGGUACAGGUGUUUAGGGCAGGGAAACUUCUGGAUGAGACUGUAGCAGCGGGUGUGGGUGGGUGUCGUUUUACAUUUGUCAAAACUCACAGAGUGGAGGGGCGCCUGGGGGGCUCAGUCGGUUAAGCAUCCAACUCGGGCUCAGGUCAUGAUCUCGCGGUUCGUGGGUUGGAGCCCCGUGUUGGGGGGUCUGUGCUGACAGCUCGGAGCCUGGAGCCUGCUUCCGAU